AUUGAACGCUGGCGGCAGGCCUAACACAUGCAAGUCGAACGGUAACAGAAAGCAGCUUGCUGCUUUGCUGACGAGUGGCGGACGGGUGAGUAAUGUCUGGGAAACUGCCUGAUGGAGGGGGAUAACUACUGGAAACGGUAGCUAAUACCGCAUAACGUCGCAAGACCAAAGAGGGGGACCUUCGGGCCUCUUGCCAUAGGAUAUGCCCAGAUGGGAUUAGCUAGUAGGUGGGGUAAAGGCUCACCUAGGCGACGAUCCCUAGCUGGUCUGAGAGGAUGACCAGCCACACUGGAACUGAGACACGGUCCAGACUCCUACGGGAGGCAGCAGUGGGGAAUAUUGCGCAAUGGGCGCAAGCCUGAUGCAGCCAUGCCGCGUGUAUGAAGAAGGCCUUCGGGUUGUAAAGUACUUUCAGCGGGGAGGAAGGGUGUAAAGUUAAUACCUUUGCUGAUUGACGUUACCCGCAGAAGAAGCACCGGCUAACUCCGUG
This 490-nucleotide ribosomal RNA is filed under the name uncultured bacterium. Its description in RNAcentral is "partial 16S ribosomal RNA". It matches the Rfam family "Bacterial small subunit ribosomal RNA", at positions 30 to 507 of the family's 1533-position model. The record is from RNAcentral.